UACGGAGGGGGUUAGCGUUGUUCGGAAUUACUGGGCGUAAAGCGCGCGUAGGCGGAUUAGGAAGUUGGGGGUGAAAUCCCGGGGCUCAACCUCGGAACUGCCUCCAAAACUGCUAGUCUAGAGUUCGAGAGAGGUGAGUGGAAUUCCGAGUGUAGAGGUGAAAUUCGUAGAUAUUCGGAGGAACACCAGUGGCGAAGGCGGCUCACUGGCUCGAUACUGACGCUGAGGUGCGAAAGUGUGGGGAGCAAACAGG
Molecule: ribosomal RNA, 253 nt
Filed under: uncultured bacterium
Lineage: Bacteria
Description: partial 16S ribosomal RNA
Rfam family: Bacterial small subunit ribosomal RNA
Source: RNAcentral